CCUACGGGCGGCUGCAGUGGGGAAUAUUGCACAAUGGGCAACCCUGAUGCAGCAACGCCGCGUGGGUGAAGGCGCGUUUCGGCGCGUCAAGCCCUGUCAGCGGGGAAGAAGAAAGACGGUACCCGACCAAGCAGCCCCGGCUAACUACGUGCCAGCAGCCGCAGUAAUACGUCGGGGGCGCGCGUUAUCCGGGAUUACUGGGUGUAAAGGGGGCGUAGACGGCGAGGUAAGCCUGAAGGGGAAGCCCGCGGCCCAACCGCGGAACUGCUUUGGGAACUGGUAUGCUGGAGUAUGGGAGAGGUAAGCGGAAUUCCUGGUGUAGCGGUGAAAUGCGUAGAUAUCAGGAGGAACACCGGUGGCGAAGGCGGCUUACUGGACCAUAACUGACGUUGAGGCUCGAAAGCGUGGGGAGCGAACAGGAUUAGAUACCCCUGUAGUC
This 439-nucleotide ribosomal RNA is filed under the name uncultured bacterium. RNAcentral describes it as "partial 16S ribosomal RNA". It matches the Rfam family "Bacterial small subunit ribosomal RNA", at positions 338 to 795 of the family's 1533-position model. The record is from RNAcentral.